Molecule: ribosomal RNA, 196 nt
Filed under: Salmonella enterica subsp. enterica serovar Derby
Lineage: Bacteria; Pseudomonadati; Pseudomonadota; Gammaproteobacteria; Enterobacterales; Enterobacteriaceae
Description: partial 23S ribosomal RNA
Rfam family: Bacterial large subunit ribosomal RNA
Source: RNAcentral
GGGUUGUGAGGUUAAGCGACUAAGCGUACACGGUGGAUGCCCUGGCAGUCAGAGGCGAUGAAGGACGUGCUAAUCUGCGAUAAGCGCCGGUAAGGUGAUAUGAACCGUUAUAACCGGCGAUUUCCGAAUGGGGAAACCCAGUGUGAUUCGUCACACUAUCAUUAACUGAAUCCAUAGGUUAAUGAGGCGAACCGGG